CCAACUCUAAUUCUACGCACCAACAGAGCAUACUUCUCCCAAGCAACAUGAUCAUUCUUUAAACCUUGAACCUUCACCCACAAAUGACUCCUUACCACUCUCCCCUAAUCCUAUUGAUACGUCCUAACUUUCAGCCUCCAUCAUCACAACGGACCUAUCAUAUGGUCACACGAUCACAAAACAAUAUUUAUAAACCAAAACAAGUCUUUGCCACCAUCACACAUCCAUUACCUCCUUUUCUUGAACCCACAACUAUCUCUCAGGCUAUGAAGGAUCCG
RNAcentral lists this long non-coding RNA (278 nucleotides) under Ananas comosus (pineapple). Its description in RNAcentral is "long non-coding RNA (ACOM_LNC013315)". The record is from RNAcentral. Lineage: Eukaryota; Viridiplantae; Streptophyta; Magnoliopsida; Poales; Bromeliaceae.